Molecule: long non-coding RNA, 805 nt
Organism: Fundulus heteroclitus (mummichog)
Lineage: Eukaryota; Metazoa; Chordata; Actinopteri; Cyprinodontiformes; Fundulidae
Exons: 3
Source: RefSeq, a predicted model, not a curated record
GAAGACGAAGAAGAAGAAGUUACUCCAGCAGCUUGUUUGGACAAAAACGCGGAUUUUAUCAUGUCUUUGAUUGAUUUUUGCCGUUUUUGCAACGCGAACAUGAGGAAUAAAGGCACCUUGUGCAACACCAUGUUGAUCUUUGAACCAAGUCGAAGAUCUAAUGAGAAAACCGUGUUCGACAGGUUAGCGGACAUCGGCUGCCACUUAGCCAAGGAUGAUGAGUCCAAGAUCAAGCGGGUUUGUAGGACGUGUUUUCGGCAUCUAAAGCGCAUGGAGGCCAGCUUCAACACGUUGAGGCGAUGGAGAGACAGAGAGGCGGAGCCGCCGGAAGAGGAGCCCUCACCUGGACGCCAGGGAGACUUUACGCCAGGUGUGAAACUACCGAGACCGCCCCAAGACAGACUACGACAAAGUUCUGCAGGCGUUUGCCAAAGACGAAGAGCUGGGAAACAUCUUUAAGGACAUUUAUGGAUUCAUCCGUGCAGCAUUUCAAAAAGGAUGAUUUGGACGGGUCGGAUUGUCCGACGUAAAGAUGGCAUUAGUCUGUAUCGAAAUUCAGCUUCCCGGUUCACCUACACAGACUGGAGACGUGCAGGACUGCAGUAACCUCCAGAAGAGAUGAGGACAGCCUGUCUGUGGCCUCUCAGGAUGCUACACAAGUGUUAUUAAUCAGGCCUGGGUGUGGCCAGAGAAGGUGAACUCAGGUGUGAUAAACAACAGUAAAGUUAUUAUUGUUGGUUUGGGUUCAUUUUCUCCAUUAAUAAUCAAAACCAUCUAAAAAUUGCAAUAUAUCUUUACUUGUGUU